AACGUACGCUGGCGGCACGCCUAACACAUGCAAGUCGAGCGGGGUAGCAAUACCUAGCGGCAGACGGGUGCGUAACAUGUGGGAAUCUGCCUUUUGGUUCGGAACAACAUGGGGAAACCUGUGCUAAUACCGGAUAAGUCCUAACGGAGAAAGUUUUAAUGCCAAAAGAUGAGCCCGCAUUUGAUUAGCUUGUUGGUGAGGUAAAAGCUCACCAAGGCUAUAAUCAAUAGCUGAUUUGAGAGGAUGAUCAGCCACACUGGGACUGAGAUACGGCCCAGACUCCUACGGGAGGCAGCAGUGGGGAAUCUUGCACAAUGGGCGAAAGCCUGAUGCAGCGAUGCCGCGUGAGUGAAGAAGGCCUUUGGGUUGUAAAGCUCUUUUGUCGGGAAAGAUAAUGACUGUACCCGAAGAAUAAGGUCCGGCUAACUUCG
Molecule: ribosomal RNA, 431 nt
Filed under: uncultured Pelagibacteraceae bacterium
Lineage: Bacteria; Pseudomonadati; Pseudomonadota; Alphaproteobacteria; Candidatus Pelagibacterales; Candidatus Pelagibacteraceae
Description: bacterial SSU rRNA
Rfam family: Bacterial small subunit ribosomal RNA
Source: RNAcentral